CGCAAUAAAGCAAGACACACGAAUCUUUUGGUUUUUCAGUGCAUACAGAAGUUAUGUUUACACUAUACUGUAGUACAUCAAGUUUACA
Molecule: non-coding RNA, 88 nt
Organism: Ceratotherium simum simum (southern white rhinoceros)
Lineage: Eukaryota; Metazoa; Chordata; Mammalia; Perissodactyla; Rhinocerotidae
Source: RefSeq, a predicted model, not a curated record